Molecule: ribosomal RNA, 446 nt
Filed under: uncultured soil bacterium
Lineage: Bacteria
Description: bacterial SSU rRNA
Rfam family: Bacterial small subunit ribosomal RNA
Source: RNAcentral
AGGACGAACGCUGGCGGCGUGCUUAACACAUGCAAGUCGAGCGGAAAGGCCUUUCGGGGUACUCGAGCGGCGAACGGGUGAGUAACACGUGAGUAAUCUGCCCAUCGCUUCAGGAUAGCCAUCGGAAACGGUGAUUAAUACUGGAUAUGACAUUCCUUCGCAUGUUGGGGUGUGGAAAGUUUUUCGGCGGUGGAUGUGCUCGCGGCCUAUCAGCUUGUUGGUGGGGUAAUGGCCUACCGAAGGCUUUGACGGGUAGCCGGCCGUGAGAGGGUGACCGGCCACACUGGGACUGGAGACACGGCCCAGACCUCCGUACGGGAGGCAGCAGGUGGGGAAUAGUUGGACAAGUGGGCGGAAGCCUGAUCCAGCAACGCCGCGUGAGGAGUGACCGGUCCUUCGGGUUACGUUAAACCUUCGUUUCCGAGACGACGAAGACGUAAGUUUUU